Molecule: ribosomal RNA, 785 nt
Filed under: uncultured bacterium
Lineage: Bacteria
Description: bacterial SSU rRNA
Rfam family: Bacterial small subunit ribosomal RNA
Source: RNAcentral
AGAGUUUGAUCAUGGCUCAGGACGAACGCUGGCGGCGUGCUUAACACAUGCAAGUCGAACGGUAAGGCCCUUCGGGGUACACGAGUGGCGAACGGGUGAGUAACACGUGGGCAAUCUGCCCUGCACAUCGGGAUAAGCCUAGGAAACUGGGUCUAAUACCGAAUAGGACCACAGGACACAUGUCCUGUGGUGGAAAGCUUUUGCGGUGUGGGAUGGGCCCGCGGCCUAUCAGCUUGUUGGUGGGGUGAUAGCCUACCAAGGCGACGACGGGUAGCCGGCCUGAGAGGGUGUCCGGCCACACUGGGACUGAGAUACGGCCCAGACUCCUACGGGAGGCAGCAGUGGGGAAUAUUGCACAAUGGGCGAAAGCCUGAUGCAGCGACGCCGCGUGGGGGAUGACGGCCUUCGGGUUGUAAACCUCUUUCACCAUCGACGAAGGUCCGGGUUUUCUCGGGCUGACGGUAGGUGGAGAAGAAGCACCGGCCAACUACGUGCCAGCAGCCGCGGUAAUACGUAGGGUGCGAGCGUUGUCCGGAAUUACUGGGCGUAAAGAGCUCGUAGGUGGUUUGUCGCGUUGUUCGUGAAAUCUCACGGCUUAACUGUGAGCGUGCGGGCGAUACGGGCAGACUUGAGUACUGCAGGGGAGACUGGAAUUCCUGGUGUAGCGGUAGAAUGCGCAGAUAUCAGGAGGAACACCGGUGGCGAAGGCGGGUCUCUGGGCAGUAACUGACGCUGAGGAGCGAAAGCGUGGGGAGCGAACAGGAUUAGAUACCCUGGUAGUCCAA